UGGGGAAUUUGGACAAUGGGCGAAAGCCUGAUCCAGCAAUGCCGCGUGUGUGAAGAAGGCCUUCGGGUUGUAAAGCACUUUUGUCCGGAAAGAAAUCCUUGGCUCUAAUACAGUCGGGGGAUGACGGUACCGGAAGAAUAAGCACCGGCUAACUACGUGCCAGCAGCCGCGGUAAUACGUAGGGUGCAAGCGUUAAUCGGAAUUACUGGGCGUAAAGCGUGCGCAGGCGGUUUGCUAAGACCGAUGUGAAAUCCCCGGGCUCAACCUGGGAACUGCAUUGGUGACUGGCAGGCUAGAGUAUGGCAGAGGGGGGUAGAAUUCCACGUGUAGCAGUGAAAUGCGUAGAGAUGUGGAGGAAUACCGAUGGCGAAGGCAGCCCCCUGGGCCAAUACUGACGCUCAUGCACGAAAGCGUGGGGAGCAAAACAGGAUUAGAUACCCUGGUAGUCCACGCCCUAAACGAUGUCAACUAGUUGUUGGGGAUUCAUUUCCUUAGUAACGUAGCUAACGCGUGAAGUUGACCGCCUGGGGAGUACGGUCGCAAGAUUAAAACUCAAAGGAAUUGACGGGGUCAUAGCUGUUUCCU
RNAcentral lists this ribosomal RNA (585 nucleotides) under uncultured bacterium. Its description in RNAcentral is "partial 16S ribosomal RNA". It matches the Rfam family "Bacterial small subunit ribosomal RNA", at positions 356 to 1375 of the family's 1533-position model. The record is from RNAcentral.